Molecule: non-coding RNA, 2994 nt
Organism: Aegilops tauschii subsp. strangulata
Lineage: Eukaryota; Viridiplantae; Streptophyta; Magnoliopsida; Poales; Poaceae
Source: RefSeq, a predicted model, not a curated record
CGCGCCUUGCCCCACCCCGCUGGCCCCGCGCGCCACCCCACCCCGUCGGCCCGUGCGCCGCCAAACCCCGCUGCCUACGGCCCAGCCCUUCGAUCCCCUACCCCUGGGAAACGCCGGCUUCUCCCACUGCAUCUUGCUCCCCCACGAGCUGCAGGUCCCGGUGGCUCGUUCCGCCGCACUGCGUCCAGGCAUUCCAACCCUGCCGCCCUAGGCCGUUCGCCGCUGUUGUGCUCACGCUGGUUGUGCCGCGCCUCCAGCUCCCAUGUGUGGCCCCUGCUGAGUGCACGUCAUGUAUUUGCUAAAAUGUCUCAGUGCACUGGACUACUAGUUUUCUUGUGUUCAUGUGCAUUUGUAGCUCCCUUCUUGCUUGCUAAUUGCUAUAGCUUACAAUACUUAGAGCAUUUUUCGUGUGUGAUCUGUAAUUUAGGUGCUAACCAAAGAAUAGGCAAGGUUAUUCAGAUAGAGGAUCUUAACUAAUCAUGUUAAUGGUUGGUCUUGCUCCCUGUGCAUUUUCACUCACUGAGGGCGACUACUCCAGAAAAAAAAGCCAUGGGAACGUGCUGCCCUCAGUCCUCUCUCGACAAAUCCAGCAGUGCAGGUUCUCCUAUGCACUAAGUAUUGCCAGCGGCGAUUCAUCCAUCAUAGCUCAUUGAGGCAAUGCUGCUUUUCUGUAUGCAUACUUUAUCUGUUUUGUUUUCUGGCAGGAAGGCACACCAUUGUUCUCGUGCAACCAUCUCCAAACAAAACGUCCAAAACUUUUAUGGACUUCAGUUCACUCAACCAAGCCCUGGAUGGUUAGUGUUCUCUCUUGCAUGCUGCUUGAAAUAUUAAUGCAAUUUUACUUUGCUAUCUGAUUGUGCAUGUGUUGUCGAAAAUGAGGUUAUCAUGGGAUUCUGAACAUAUGAUAGUAUUGUUUUGCAUAUGUAUUAUAGUUCAUUAGUUCAUCUAUUCCUUGCUUCAGUUCUAUGCACAUAGUCAUCAGCCAUCAUCACCGUACCACUUGGACUGAACAUUCAGGAAUUCAAUUUAUAAUGUUGUUUACUGUCCUAAUUUUUCGGUACCAGUAACCUUCCUAUAUACAUAUGCAGCUUUUCCGGUUCACCUUGUAUAUGGUUUUUCAGUUCACCUUGUAUAUGCCUUUUCAGUUCAUCGUACAUGUUUCAAAAGGAGCUCCCUUAGUUUCAGUAGAUGUGGAGAUGGGUAAAAUCUAAAGUUCAACUUUUCUGAUGGGGUACUUCAUAAAGCAAAGAAAAAAGAAAAGCAGAGCAAAAGUGAAAAAAAAGAAAAAGAAAACCAAAGUUGUUUUGAGAAGAAAAUGCCUAUUGUCCAGUAAUACAUUCUCUCGUUAGUCUAUGGUUAUUUGUUCAUGAGAACGAAAAAACAGUGUACAAUACAUAUUACGUGCGCUGUUCACAUAUUAUGGUUAUUUGUUCGUUAGCCGCGUGCAGGAAGUUCAACGGCACAAUCCCCGGCCGUUCAGUCUCGCUGCUGUGGGCGUGCCCCGCUCCAACUCCAUCGCCUCUGCUUCACUGGUGAAAGGUGCGACCUGAGGAACCACGGGGGUUGAGGACGUCCAGCUCCGCAGUGCAACUCGGCAUGAUUCACGUCAUCGAUAGCCCCCAUGUAGCAGCCCAUGCAUGUCCCGCAAUGAGCCAGGACAGGGAAGUUGUUGGACACUCCCGUCUUCGUCGGCCAUCACGCUAUGAGUGGCUAUGGCCAUUGGUCACCGUUGGUCGUCGGCCGUUCUUCUUCGCCACCUCCUGAAGGUCAGCUUCUGGUACACGGGAAUGAAACACCAGACGAAGCAAAAUUGAGUGAUCACGGGGAUGGAACACCCACAGCCCAUGAGGGAGGUUUGGAUGGACGCGGAUCACUAGCCCACUAUGACGACGCUGACUAGCACGAAGGACACCAGCAGGUUGAGGAUGAAGUACAUGAUGCAGGCAAUGAGGAUGAUCAAAACAUGGAAUCCGUACACAAAGCAGCAGCUGCAAAUUCAAAUUUUCUAUCUAUGGCGAUUUGAUUGCUACUUCUUAAAGAAAAGUGUACAUGACAGUUAGAUGUUUGUGCAAGAAAGGAAAAAUUGUUUGAAUUAAAAACAUUGAUCAGGUCGAUAGUGCUCUCUCCUGCCUAUUUUGGUUGAUGUCCAUGAAUAGAGAAAAAAUUGUAUGGGAAUGUUUAAUUAUUACUAGCAUGUAAAUUCAAAAAAUAAAACACAGUCGGUUCGUCUAUGAAAUUUGAGAAAGUUUGUCUAUGGACCUGAGGAAAAUAUGCUCAAAGAAAUAUCACAACACAUUUAUUUGGGUAAUAAGUUAUUUUAGUUUAGCUACACAAACCAUGCAGGUUCGAUGAUGAUGGUACCAUAAGUUCGGACAAGAAAACAAAUAUGAAUUAUAGCAGAAAACUUUCACUUCUAUAAGUUCAAGUGCUCAUCCACACUCGGAAAUUCAAGUUGGUAAAAGCUCAAAACAGUAAAAGUUCAAGUUGCAAAACAAAAGAAGUCCAGAACACCGUUGUAAAGAAACGACUCUAAAAAAAGAAACACACAAAACAAUUUCGUUUUAUUAAAAAAAACAUUUAAUUCAAACCGGUAUAAAGUAUGCAUUUUCGGGCAUGAUGAUACCAUUGAGAAGUUACGAGAAAAAUUAUACCGAAAAUACAGAGUAAAGUCUAGUGUGUGAAAACACACUCAGUACAAAACCAUACAAACAUCCGUUCAAGUACUCUUUUUUCGAAACCAUUCAAAACUACUGUGAAAAAUAUCUCAGUACAAACACCCAAAUAAAUUUUUCGACCGGAAAAACAAUACAAUGGGUCUUACCGUAUUCAAAAUUAAUUUUUAACGAUAGCGAAUUUGAGAAAAUAUUCGACAUGACUAAGUUUUCCAUUUUUGAUAUCUUUCCAACGGUAUAUUAUUUGCCCCAUUUCGGCAAACUUUAAAAAAAAAUUGCGUUUGAAAUCAAAUUUCACCGUAUUCGAAUUCGAGUUUAAACC